Molecule: microRNA precursor, 202 nt
Filed under: Oryza brachyantha (malo sina)
Lineage: Eukaryota; Viridiplantae; Streptophyta; Magnoliopsida; Poales; Poaceae
Description: MIR812 microRNA precursor family
Rfam family: MIR812 microRNA precursor family
Source: Rfam by way of RNAcentral
CUUAAUUACAACCACCGUCCCGAAAUAAGUUUUUGACUCUUCGUCUUAUUUAAAUUUUUUUUACGAUUACGUUUAUUGUUACUAGAUGAUAAAAUAUAAAUAGUACUUUAUUCGUGACUAAUUUUUUUAAAUUUUUGUACAAAUUUUUUAAAUAAGACGAACGAUCAAACUUUGGAUACAGAAAUCGAAAAAUAAGAUUAUU